Long non-coding RNA from Triticum aestivum (bread wheat), 1909 nucleotides. RefSeq lists it as uncharacterized. NCBI's taxonomy places the organism in Eukaryota, Viridiplantae, Streptophyta, Magnoliopsida, Poales, Poaceae. The record is from RefSeq and is a predicted model, not a curated record. The transcript is spliced from 6 exons.
CAGUUGGCACUGAACAAGCGGCGCCCGGCGAUACCCCGUCGAAACCGGCCGGGCCCGGCGGCACGCAGGUGUCCUCCCUCGCACUGACCCAGCCUCCAUUCAUUCAAAAAAAAAACAUGGCGAAAACAGCACCACGGAGGCGGCCGCGGCCGCGGCCAGCGGCCACGCAUCGAGACGACGACGGCGACGCGAAUGAUUGGGAGGAGAGAGGGGCGUACGGCGAGGCGAUCCGGGCAGGGCGGAAGGCGACAAGGGGAAGUGGGCCGCGACAAGAUCCAUGAUCCGAGGAGAUGGAAAAUACAGGGAGUUUAGAGAAAGAUAUUUUUACAGUGAGAUAACAUUGGCCAAAGCUGGAUGUCUGCAAUGCUGCAGCCAAAGCUAUGACAUUGUCUAAACAGUACAUGUCAGCAAGUGGAACGCAGAACAGUUACUCUGUGAGAAGGUACCCAGAUGGGUCAUGAGAGCUGCUCAAUGCCUGGUGUUGGCAGUCAUGAUGUGGUGAGAUAUAAUUUCAAGACGACAAUGCCCUUAGGUUGGUGGAACAUCCAUUAUAAGGAGGAUUCGUAAUAAGUGGGGCAGUAAUUAGUUUGAUGAUGCUUUUUAUUUGGUCUGCCGUACCAGUCCACCAAUCCCUGUUAUACAUUUGGGUAUUAUCAGAAGAGCACAGUCACGUGAUGCACAUGUGAUGCCAUGGAUUCUUGGACGAAUGGCAUGAUCAUCGAUUCAUGGUGCCUGCUCUUGGCAUCUGACACAACAGCCUGUAGGUGCUGCAGGAAAAUGACAACAGCACCUUAAGUUAACGCAGCUAGCGCCCGACAACGUGUUAAUGAGAUAAACAAUGGAACACCCGAGACUGAAGAUUUUUUUUGGAAAGCUCACCAAGAGUGAAUGAUCAUUUUUGCAUCUUUUAGAUUGAUUGGUGCAUGGAAAGAAAGGUUCCCGAAGAUGCAUUUGGUUGACUGGCAGCAGAGAGGAGAAGAUUACUGCAUUUCUUGGAAGGAAAAGCGAGUGUUUCCCAAAUGACGCUAAGGCCUUAAAAGGAAGAUGACAAACAAACAUCUGCGGGGGAAAAUGUGCAGCUGAGGGGUUGGAUGUUGUGCAGGCAUGAGUUUUUUCCUUUUGCCCAAUCGAGCUUGGCUUUGGGAAGAAGAGAAAGGCGUUUGAUGGAGGCAGGUCCGUCCGUCCGUCCGUCCCUCAGGUGGGGAGAAGAGCCUGUGCUCCACCUGGCCAGUGAAGUGGUGGCUGGCUGCCCUGUCAAUGCCUUUGCCUUUUUUCACAAAAGAGGUAAAAAGGAGCUGUGCACUUGAAACUUUGAUGCUGGCAAACCUACACGUACCGGGCAUUAUGGGAGUACCUCCUGUCUGUGGAGCUUGUGAGAUUAUGCAGCAGCAGCAGCAGCAACAGCAACAGUCAAUUUGGGUAUAAGUAAAUCCUGCUGUGCAAUGCAAUGCACACUGAGCAGUGGGUGCCCCUUGUUCUUUUUCUGCAGAUCAAUGAUUGGGAGUUUUGAGGCAUAUGGUAGGUACUUUAUGGUUUCUUUUACCCUUAGGCGGCCGCUGUAGGGCACUAGCUGAGCUUGUGCCCCAGAUUGUUUGCAACACAGUUAAGCAGCAUGAGUCCAGGAACUGGGACUUGAGAGUGAGCAAUAUACUACUAUGUAGAAUUCUGCUGCGGCUGCAAGGCAAAAACAUUCCCUGUGCACAAGGACAAGUGUGCCUGUAUCAUCAUAUUGGAAGCAUGCGUUUGUUUAUUAAUAACCUCGCCAUGGAAACCGGUAAGCAGCAGGUGAGCAGGUUUCUUGUGCUCCAUGAAAUGAAUCUGGUCUGAGCUGUAGUGAUCCAGAUCCAAAACUAAAUUUGAAUCAUUUUGCAGAUCCCAAGAGCCUUGCCUUGGCUGUCCCAAGUACUCC